This 72-nucleotide transfer RNA is filed under the name Elusimicrobiota bacterium. Its description in RNAcentral is "Elusimicrobia bacterium tRNA-Arg". It matches the Rfam family "tRNA". From Rfam's summary of the family: Transfer RNA (tRNA) molecules are approximately 80 nucleotides in length. Their secondary structure includes four short double-helical elements and three loops (D, anti-codon, and T loops). Further hydrogen bonds mediate the characteristic L-shaped molecular structure. tRNAs have two regions of fundamental functional importance: the anti-codon, which is responsible for specific mRNA codon recognition, and the 3' end, to which the tRNAs corresponding amino acid is attached (by aminoacyl-tRNA synthetases). tRNAs cope with the degeneracy of the genetic code in two manners: having more than one tRNA (with a specific anti-codon) for a particular amino acid; and 'wobble' base-pairing, i.e. permitting non-standard base-pairing at the 3rd anti-codon position. The record is from RNAcentral. Lineage: Bacteria; Pseudomonadati; Elusimicrobiota.
GCGCUCGUAAUACAAAGGAUAGUGUGCCGCCCUGCGAAGGCGGAUAUCCAGGUUCAAUUCCUGGCGAGCGCA